Molecule: long non-coding RNA, 5401 nt
Organism: Artibeus jamaicensis (Jamaican fruit-eating bat)
Lineage: Eukaryota; Metazoa; Chordata; Mammalia; Chiroptera; Phyllostomidae
Exons: 3
Source: RefSeq, a predicted model, not a curated record
ACCUAGCAUGUGGGUGUGUCACUAUGUAUUGGGAAGGAAGGUAGAUAGAUUGUGUGUGUGUGUGUGUGUGUGUGUGUGUGUGUGUGUGAGUGAGUGUGAUGGUGGUGGCGACGGGGCUUGGCGAGUUGCACUGAGGUUCUUUAAAAGAGGGUGUUUUCUAAUUCUAGUCCUGGCUCAGAUGUGUGAAGGGUGGUUGGUGGAGUGGGAAGUGCAUGGGUGUCAGAGUCAGACAGAUUUGGAAGAUUCCUGACUUUAUGAUCUCGGGCAAGUUACUCAACCGCACCGAGAUUUUUGUCCACAUUUCUAAAAUGGGCGGGUUUUAAGAAUUAGAGAAAAUGUUUGAUGAAUACUUAAAACAGUUCUUAGCACCUGAUAGGUGCUACAGUGGUGACUAUUAUAUAUUUAGAAUCAUAUAAUCAGUAUUAAAUCUUCAAAUAUAUUUUGAAAACCUAUUAUGCAAACCUAGCUGAGUUGUAGGGUCUAAUGGUCAAAUAUAUAUUUUAUUUUUCUCCUUCAAACAGUUUUAAGUUAUUGAGAAAAGCCAGCACUUUUUAUAAAAUUACAGUUUUAUAAAUGCUUUUACAGAAUUUUAUCUAUCUACACAUAUUUAUCGAGCAUCUAGUUUGUGUGGGGCAUUUUGCUAAUUAUUUGGUGGAUGGUUGGAAAAAUACAGAUUUAUUGUACUAUGGUUUUCAUUGUGCUAUUAAGGAUAAUGCAUAGUGAAUUCUGCAACAGAGUUAGGGGAGGGACCAUAUCAAGAAUAUUGCACCAGUCAUUUCUAAAGACUACCCAGGAUGAGAAAAUGGCCACCGGAAUCCAGUUCUUUCAUCCUCUGCUAAACCAAAGGCUGUGUGACUUGCUACUUCUCAUUUACUCAGCAGGCGGCGCUCUAGCACCAGGAAUUGCAGAGAGUAGCAAUUUAGCAAAACAAGGACUUUUUUGGUUAAUGCUUGUUUUUCAGGCAAAAGAGGAAAGCUGUUAGGAAAAAUAAACAGUUUAUCAGGCAUUGCAACAAAGACACUUGAGGAAAAAGACAAGCUGUCACUUCAAGGACAGGAUGAAAAUUCCCUGCAUUUGUAGAAGCAUUAGAUGCUGGGCGCAUGCCUUAUAAGAAAAAAUCAUGAAAUGAGGAAGGAAAAAAAAUGAUGGAGAUAAAAGAGAAGAUUAAGAAAAUAGAAAACAAUUGAAAUCAUCUGCAAGCAAGGAUGGAGUAUAGUUCUGGGAGAGGAAUGUGGACGAGUAUUGUAGCAAUCGGAAAAAAUAAAAACUGCUGAAGUAUAAUUGAGAAUCAUUCUAAGUAUUCAGAUGUGCCAUUUACGUCUGAUGCCAGAAUUUCCUGCGUAAUUGGUUUCAGCUGUCCAGCCAACAUCCAGUUCUUGUUUUGUAGCUUUCAAUAUUUUGAGGUCUUCAGUACAUAGACUUUUGCACCUAAUGACAAGUGCCUGAUUUCUGAAUCAAAAUUGCUUCAUUGUUUUCCAAAUUUGCAUGUUAGGGAAACAGAACAGCUGAGUUAGGAACUAAGUUUUGGUGUAAGGGAUUUGGACAGGACCAGCUAAAAAAGGGAAAAGUAUUCACUGUGGAUUGGUGGGAAUUUGGAAGUGUUGUACGUGGUAACCUCAAUUAGAUUUAGGGAAGGUGCUACCAAUUUAAUCUUCACUUCCUCCACUGGGCCAUUAAAAUGGCUUUUUUUUGGAGGGGCUAUCAAAUUACUAGCUUAGACCCUUUUCAUAAGGUUGUUAAUCCAACAUCAUUUUAUGUGGUUUACUCUCAUGUAGGGAGGUUUUAUCAGCAGAAUACAUUAAAAUGAUCUGAAAAAACUCCAUAAAACACAAAAGGAUGAGCAGUUAUCAAAUUGAUUGCUAGUAUCUAACCACAGGCUCUGCAAUAAAUGAAUUGAAUUAGUGCAAUGGGAAAACUGUUUUACAAGUGGUUCUGAAACCUCAGUGUGACCCUGGAGACUCCUUAGAACACAUUUCGGGGGCCACUCCCAGAGUCUCUGGUCCAGGAGGUCUGAGGUGGGAUCAGAACGUACAUUUCUAUCAAAUUCCAGCCAGUGUUCCUUGUCCAGAGAUCUCACUUUGAGAACCACUGACUUACACAUUUUCUAAAAAAUAUUUUCUAUUUGACUUAGUUAUGACUUUGAUGUCCAUCCUUCGACCAUAAUAUAAGGUCGAGUUAGACAUUUAACUAACUCACAGAGGAGGACAGAGUCUGCAGGUAUUUACUGAACACCUUACAUGUGCCUGGUUCUAUUCUGGGCUCUUUACAUUCUUAAUCUUCUCACUUCAUCUUCCCUCUGGCUUUAUGAGUAAAGAGAUGUGAGAUCGUAUGAAUAAUGAGUAAAGUAUGAUAUGCUCUUUCCACUUAACAUGUAGAGCUGGACUCUUCAAGAGCUGGGAACUUUCCAACAGCAAACAUCUAGCAAAUGGCUGAACUUGAAUUUGGACCCAGGUGUGCCAGACUGCAAAGACCGCACUGCAGAGGAGCACUUCAGAACAUUCCUCAUGGUUUGAUUGAAUGAAUUUCACAGAUUUUAGUUCAUACCCACCUUGCAUGACUGGACACAAGUGAACUCCUUAAUUUCUGGACCUAAGUGUCUCUAUUUCUUAGGAGAAGUGCAACUAUUUAAUCCAAGUGCAUCUCAGAAAUAAGUGGGAAAGAUUGGAUGAGGACAGAGACCACCAGAUUCUGGCUGUCCUAGUGGGAAGGAAGGCAGCCGUUCUGUUCGCCGGUCAGCAAGACCUACGGGAGCUGCUAGCUUUCUUCAGAUGGAGCCUCCCACUACAUUGGCCUCCUGUCACCCAGCCUCCCCGAUGGCAGUGGCUGUCUGUCCUGAAUACCUACUCUCACCAACGUAACCAGACAGAACCAGACGUUCUCCGGAAUGGUCCACUGAGGAUUGACUCCUGUCCCCAUCGGCUCCUGUGUCCCGUUCGUUGAGGCUUGCCUGGGAGUCAGUAACCCUCCGCAUGUGAGUGCUGCAUAACACCUUCGGGGUCUGGAAUGUUGGAGAAGCCCCGGCGUUUGCUGGAGGCCAGGUGCUCUCGGUGUGAGGUGAGCUGGGUCACGGCAGCUGACUGAUGCAUGUACUAAGGUCCAGAUUUGUUUUGGGUCUGGUCUUCUGUGAGUCUGUCUUUCAUAUCAGUUCUCCUGUGCGUCUUUGUAUGUGUGUGAUAUGCUGUGAGAUUUUCUCUAAAAGUGGAGCACAAAAAAGCGGUCAGCUUCCUGCUAGUCAAAGUGUGAUUUAGAGAGAUGAAGUCUUCACUUUGAGGCUCCUCAUGGACUCACAGGUGGCUUCCUUCCCUCUUGUUUGAAGAGUGGGAGUAAAUUUGUACAAGUUUAUUGAGAGUGAAGAGUAAAUUUUUGUCUGGAGAAGGCAAAUUAAAUAAUUGUGAGCGAUGAGGCAUGUGAAAUUCAAGUGCAACAGAGAGUAUCAUUAAUUAACUGGAGACUGAACUUGAAGGCACCACUUGCAUGCCAAUGUAAACCACCAUGGCCACUAAUUAACCUGAGGUUGGGCUUGUUUUAACAGCAAGAUGUUGAUUUUCAAGCCAGCACAGAAAAAGAAGAGUUCAUAGUUGGGUUGAAUUGAUGCCACCCUCUAGACUCUGUUGGGUUGAACUGGGGCAGUGGUUUAUAAGAGGGUCCUUAUGAAGAACCUUCUCUUUGUUCCAGUCAUUAUUAAAAUUUAAAUUUAUUACCAAAGUUAAGAAAGCCAGUUAUGACACGGAGGCUUAAAUAAGAGUUCCCUGUGGGUUGGCCUGGCUCGCUGAUUGGUAGCCUCCAUUGUGGGGUGCUGGGGUAAGCUGGUUUUUUCACUGGGAGAUCUUGAGAUUUUAGUAGCUGUGUGUCUUUAAUCUGGGGCUCUCUGAUCCCAAUCCCAGGAGGGAGCCACUUUCUGUUUAUGCAGCGGUUGCUUCUGGGACUCCUAAAUAUUCAGAUUCCUAAGUACCAUUUCAAUUCUUCUUGAUUAUUCAGUUUUUGGUAUUAAUUUAUUGAUUUACUGAUUUUUUCUUAUGGUGGAUGAUCAUUUACCUCUGGGAGCUAAUUAAUCCUCCCCCAACCAGUCCUUCAACUGUACUUUGCUUUCCUCAUUCUCCCAACAAAGUCCAGGCAAUAUUUCUGGCUAUAGUAAUAUUCAGUGUUUACAUGCGUAUGCCUUGUAAAUAUUGUUUAUAUGUACAUGUUGUUUACUACUAAACCAAGCACUGCACUAACAUGACGAUUUCUUUUGUUUUACUUUUCCCGGAGUUGUUAACUGCAUACAUUUAUUUUGCUUAGUUUUUUUGUAUCUACUGCUGUUCUAUUUCAUACCCUCCAGCAGAUAACCCAGGAAUCCCUUCUGCCCUCCUCCCCCGACCUGCCUCCCGAGUCCUCCGCCUUCUGGCUCCAGUCCGGACUUGGUGCUCCUGGGCCUGCUGUCCUCCUGGGCCUUGUUUUUACCCUGGAAGUUUUCCCUCUCUCCCCCCGUCAGGUCCCGUUUCCUGGAUUCUCCAUCUUUCUCUGUCUUGAUGAUUUUCCUACAUUGGUCUCUGGAGUCUUUUAUAGCCUCUUAUUUUUUUAAUUGUAUUUUUUUCCAUAACUAUUUACCCCCACCCCCAUACCCUCUUCCAUCUCCAUCCCGCCCCUCCGCCCACAAUCACCACACUGUUGUCCGUGCCCACGAGUCCUUUUUCUUUUUCGCUCAAUCCUCAUCCACCAACAACCCCUCUCACUCAGAGCUGUCAGCCCCUUCUCUGUGAGUCUGUCUCCAUUUGCUUUGUUAGUUCAGUUUGUUCAUUAGAUUCCACAUAGGAGUGAAAUCGUAUGGUACUUUUCUUUCUUUGACUGGUUCAUUUCACUUAGCAUGAUGUUCUCUAGGUCCAUCCAUGCUGUUACAAAGGGGUAAUUUUUUUUUCAUGGCUGAAUGGCAUUCCAUUGUGUAAAUGUGCUAUAGCUGUUUCAUACAGUUAUCUACUGAUGGGCACUUGGGCUGCUUCCAAAUCUUGGCUAUUGUAAAUAAUGUUGCAGUGAACACAUGGGUACAUAUGUGUGUAUUCUUUUGAAUUAGUGUUUCAGGUUUCUUAGGAUAAAUUUCCAGAAGUAGAAUCGCUGGGUCAAAAGGCAGAUCCAUUUAAAAUUUUUUGAGGUGCCUCCAUACUGCUUUCCACAGUGGCUGCACCAGUCUGCAUUCCCACCAACAGUGCAGAAGGGUUCCCCUUUCUGAAGCCUCUUCUUUAUUCCUGGUGUGCUGAAAUUCCACAGCAAUGUCUGAUGGGUGUGUCUCUUUUCAUUUAUUAUGCCAGGUUAUAAAUGGCAGUUUUCUACCAAAGAGUCGUAUGCUCCAGUUCUGGAAACUUUAUUCUCUUCCUCUUCCUCCUCCUACUUUUUUUUUUUUAAAAAAAACUUCUUUCUCCUGCUU